Molecule: ribosomal RNA, 405 nt
Filed under: uncultured bacterium
Lineage: Bacteria
Description: partial 16S ribosomal RNA
Rfam family: Bacterial small subunit ribosomal RNA
Source: RNAcentral
AUCGAACGCUAGCGGGAUGCUUUAUACAUGCAAGUCGAACGAGUGGCGGAUGGGUGAGUAAUAUAUCGGAACGUGCCCAGUAGCGGGGGAUAACUACUCGAAAGAGUGGCCAAUAACGCAUACUAUUGGUGCGGCCCAUAUCGGAUUACCUAGUUGGUGGGGUAAAGGCUGCACAGGGCAACGAUCCGUAGCUGGUUUGACAGGACGACCGGCCACACUGGGACUGAGACACGGCCCAGACUCCUACGGGAGGCAGCAGUGGGGAAUUUUGGGCAAUGGGGGAAACCCUGAUCCAGACAUCCCGCGUGUAUGAGAAGGCCUUCGGUUUGUAAAGUACUUUUGGCAGAGAAGCGGUAUCUACACAAUAAGCGCCGGCUAACUACGUGCCAGCAGCCGCGGUAAUAC